AGCUUUUCCAAUCCGUGCAGAGAUUUUGUCAGACACCAACCCAUUAGGGUUGAUCAGACUCCCAACAUAAGUGAAGUU
This is a non-coding RNA of Schistosoma haematobium, 78 nucleotides long. The record is from Rfam. Lineage: Eukaryota; Metazoa; Platyhelminthes; Trematoda; Strigeidida; Schistosomatidae.